RNAcentral lists this ribosomal RNA (507 nucleotides) under uncultured bacterium. Its description in RNAcentral is "bacterial SSU rRNA". It matches the Rfam family "Bacterial small subunit ribosomal RNA", at positions 341 to 858 of the family's 1533-position model. The record is from RNAcentral.
ACGGGAGGCAGCAGUGGGGAAUAUUGCACAAUGGGCGAAAGCCUGAUGCAGCGACGCCGCGUGGGGGAUGACGGCCUUCGGGUUGUAAACCCCUUUCAGUAGGGAAGAAGCGAGAGUGACGGUACCUGCAGAAGAAGCGCCGGCUAACUACGUGCCAGCAGCCGCGGUAGUACGUAGGGCGCAAGCGUUGUCCGGAAUUAUUGGGCGUAAAGAGCUUGUAGGUGGCUUGUCGCGUCUGCCGUGAAAACCCGAGGCUCAACCUCGGGCGUGCGGUGGGUACGGGCAGGCUAGAGUGUGGUAGGGGAGACUGGAACUCCUGGUGUAGCGGUGAAAUGCGCAGAUAUCAGGAAGAACACCGAUGGCGAAGGCAGGUCUCUGGGCCAUUACUGACACUGAGAAGCGAAAGCAUGGGUAGCGAACAGGAUUAGAUACCCUGGUAGUCCAUGCCGUAAACGUUGGGCACUAGGUGUGGGGGACAUUCCACGUUUUCCGCGCCGUAGCUAACGC